This 658-nucleotide long non-coding RNA is filed under the name Homo sapiens (human). Its description in RNAcentral is "HSALNT0193895". The record is from RNAcentral. Lineage: Eukaryota; Metazoa; Chordata; Mammalia; Primates; Hominidae.
CUCAAGAGGAGUAUGCUCUGCUUACAGCAAUUGUUAUCCUGUCUCCAGAUAGACAAUACAUAAAGGAUAGAGAGGCAGUAGAGAAGCUUCAGGAGCCACUUCUUGAUGUGCUACAAAAGUUGUGUAAGAUUCACCAGCCUGAAAAUCCUCAACACUUUGCCUGUCUCCUGGGUCGCCUGACUGAAUUACGGACAUUCAAUCAUCACCACGCUGAGAUGCUGAUGUCAUGGAGAGUAAACGACCACAAGUUUACCCCACUUCUCUGUGAAAUCUGGGACGUGCAGUGAUGGGGAUUACAGGGGAGGGGUCUAGCUCCUUUUUCUCUCUCAUAUUAAUCUGAUGUAUAACUUUCCUUUAUUUCACUUGUACCCAGUUUCACUCAAGAAAUCUUGAUGAAUAUUUAUGUUGUAAUUACAUGUGUAACUUCCACAACUGUAAAUAUUGGGCUAGAUAGAACAACUUUCUCUACAUUGUGUUUUAAAAGGCUCCAGGGAAUCCUGCAUUCUAAUUGGCAAGCCCUGUUUGCCUAAUUAAAUUGAUUGUUACUUCAAUUCUAUCUGUUGAACUAGGGAAAAUCUCAUUUUGCUCAUCUUACCAUAUUGCAUAUAUUUUAUUAAAGAGUUGUAUUCAAUCUUGGCAAUAAAGCAAACAUAAUGGC